This 92-nucleotide unclassified non-coding RNA is filed under the name Ralstonia sp. UNCCL144. Lineage: Bacteria; Pseudomonadati; Pseudomonadota; Betaproteobacteria; Burkholderiales; Burkholderiaceae. The record is from RNAcentral.
UAUACGGGCGGGCCUCGGCAGGGAGGGCCUUGGCCCUGCCGUCUUGGUAGUAACGUCGGUAUUGCAGACCUUGUCGUGUGCCCGCCCACCCU